AGGUUAUUGAGGGCCUGUUUCAUGUUGCUGCCCACACAUUCAAUGUGGUGGACACCGUCUACAUUAUGAAUCACUACUCAGCAGGUGGGAUUUUGUUCAGUGACAGAACUGAACUACCUCGUCACAGUUUACCAAAGGUAAACUUUGACAACUAUGAAGCUGUUCUGUCAUUUGUGCUAGUCAACGGCAACCACUGGAACUUACUGUACAUUAAUGCAGAAACCAGCACAGUAUUUCUGAUGGAUCCAGCACGAUUGUCAUCAGAGCUUGAGGACUCUGAACAUGCUGCUAAAAGAAUACAG
Long non-coding RNA from Gadus morhua (Atlantic cod), 302 nucleotides. RefSeq lists it as uncharacterized. The record is from RefSeq and is a predicted model, not a curated record. NCBI's taxonomy places the organism in Eukaryota, Metazoa, Chordata, Actinopteri, Gadiformes, Gadidae. The transcript is spliced from 3 exons.